AAGAAAUCAACCGAGAUUCCCCCAGUAGCGGCGAGCGAACGGGGAGCAGCCCAGAGCCUGAAUCAGUGUGUGUGUUAGUGGAAGCGUCUGGAAAGGCGUGCGAUACAGGGUGACAGCCCCGUACACAAAAAUGCACAUACUGUGAGCUCGAUGAGUAGGGCGGGACACGUGGUAUCCUGUCUGAAUAUGGGGGGACCAUCCUCCAAGGCUAAAUACUCCUGACUGACCGAUAGUGAACCAGUACCGUGAGGGAAAGGCGAAAAGAACCCCGGCGAGG
RNAcentral lists this ribosomal RNA (277 nucleotides) under Escherichia coli. RNAcentral describes it as "partial 23S ribosomal RNA". It matches the Rfam family "Bacterial large subunit ribosomal RNA", at positions 219 to 534 of the family's 2925-position model. Lineage: Bacteria; Pseudomonadati; Pseudomonadota; Gammaproteobacteria; Enterobacterales; Enterobacteriaceae. The record is from RNAcentral.